Molecule: unclassified non-coding RNA, 744 nt
Filed under: Zea mays
Lineage: Eukaryota; Viridiplantae; Streptophyta; Magnoliopsida; Poales; Poaceae
Description: misc RNA Zm00001eb249920
Source: RNAcentral
AGGAAAUGGAAGAGGCAUCUGCACCUCAGACUGUCUUGAACGCGCUUCCCGCGAGCACUCCUCCCCUCCCCUUGUUUAGCGGCGACAGUGGUUCUCCUCUCUCCUUCCGUCGCGCGCUCGUCCGGACCAAGGAAGUCUCCUUCGGCGGCGGACACAGCAAGUUCCGGCUUGCCGUGGCGCCGUCCCACUCUCCCUGGAUGCUAUCCAUGAGUGCCGGAUCUUGCUCCGGCGCAACCGAAGCCGUGCAUGAGCAAUCUUCGUCCGAUUUAUUGCCCCGCCGAGCAGUUCGGGCGGAUCCAAGGCAGCGGCGAUUUGGAAGCAAGCGACGACAAGGCGCGUGCACCGGCGACCCAGGAACGGCGGCGUCGCCAGCAGGCCUCGGCGGGGAAGGAGAUUCGUCUCGCCGAGCUGGAGGAUCCGCCUCCGUCUUGGUUGGCUGACAAUCGGAGAAGGGACGGUCCCAAGCGUCGCCGCCUUCGUUGUCGACCGUACCUCAUCUUUGUUGUCCCAAGACGGUCCUAAACCUUCUUACCCCAAGCGGCGUAGGCAGCACCAAGAUCCAUCCGCAUUGCACACCUCAUUACGCCGUUCCUCAUCUUUGGAUCUGCAGCAUAUUGGAAAAUCGCCGCCCUCGUGUUCGUGUUUCUUUUUUAAGCAUAGGAUGGUCCGGUUAAUAGAACGAUGAAACAUUUAUUAGUAAGGGAAAUAAAAAUUAAUUUGCAAUUAAUAGCUCGUGUGAUAAUG